This 465-nucleotide ribosomal RNA is filed under the name uncultured bacterium. Its description in RNAcentral is "partial 16S ribosomal RNA". It matches the Rfam family "Bacterial small subunit ribosomal RNA", at positions 28 to 507 of the family's 1533-position model. The record is from RNAcentral.
GACGAACGCUGGCGGCGUGCUUAACACAUGCAAGUCGAACGGAAAGGCCCUGCUUGCAGGGUACUCGAGUGGCGAACGGGUGAGUAACACGUGGGGGAUCUGCCCUGCACUUCGGGAUAAGCCUGGGAAACUGGGUCUAAUACCGGAUAGGAGCCAUUUUUAGUGUGAUGGUUGGAAAGUUUUUUCGGUGUAGGAUGAGCUCGCGGCCUAUCAGCUUGUUGGUGGGGUAAUGGCCUACCAAGGCGGCGACGGGUAGCCGGCCUGAGAGGGUGGACGGCCACAGUGGGACUGAGAUACGGACCAGACCCCUACGGCAGGCAGCAGUGGCGAAUAUUGCAAAAUGGGAGCAAGCCUGAUGCAGCGACGCCGCGUGGGGGAUGACGGCCUUCGGGUUGUAAACUCCUUUCGCUAGGGACGAAGCUUUUUGUGACGGUACCUAGAGAAGAAGCACCGGCUAACUACGUG